This 490-nucleotide long non-coding RNA is filed under the name Homo sapiens (human). Its description in RNAcentral is "non-protein coding lnc-CDH9-12:1". Lineage: Eukaryota; Metazoa; Chordata; Mammalia; Primates; Hominidae. The record is from RNAcentral.
UGAAACCAUCACAAAAGCUUAACCCACCCUUGAUCCCAGAAUUUUUAUGAAUGCUUACUGAAGAAAAUUCUCAGGAUGAUUCAGAGGCCUCUCAUAACUUCUGCUCCAAGAUGUCGAUAAAGAACCUUAGUAACUUGACUGUCAAUUCUGGUACCAAAUUCCCAACUUGUCUUCAUCUGUUAGAAGGUUUACCUCAACAACACGGUAGAAUAGAAAUGAUUUUCCAGGGUAUCAGAGAUGGCUGGCCUUACAGGGGGAAAGGAGUAAGAACACAGUUAUCUGUGCAGAAAGAAAGGGUGGUAACAUUGAGAUACCUGUUAGUAAACAGAUUUUCUCAGCUUCAAAGAGAGCUAACAGACACGGGGCUUAAAAGAGUUCAGAUUGAAUUGAGAAGGGAACCAUUCAGAUCUGGCUGCACUUUCUGCAUGCACUAGGAGGGAUCCUUCUGAGAAUGCUAGAAUAGGGAAUUAUGACACUGAGCAGAUUCAGC